GACGAACGCUGGCGGCGUGCUUAACACAUGCAAGUCGAACGGGGCUACUAUGAUGGAGUUUUCGGACAACUGAUUAGUAUGCCUAGUGGCGGACGGGUGAGUAACGCGUGAGUAACCUGCCUUUCAGAGGGGGACAACAGCUGGAAACGGCUGCUAAUACCGCAUAAUAUAUACAGGUCGCAUGAUUUGUAUAUCAAAGAUUUAUCGCUGAAAGAUGGACUCGCGUCUGAUUAGCUAGUUGGCGGGGUAACGGCCCACCAAGGCGACGAUCAGUAGCCGGACUGAGAGGAAGGUCCCCCCACAUUGGGUACUGAGACACGGACCAAACUCCUACGGGGGGCAGCAGUGAGGAAUAUUGGGUCAAUGGGCCGAGAGGCUGAACCAGCCAAGUCGCGUGAAGGAAGAAGGGAUC
This 412-nucleotide ribosomal RNA is filed under the name uncultured bacterium. RNAcentral's name for it is "bacterial SSU rRNA". It matches the Rfam family "Bacterial small subunit ribosomal RNA", at positions 28 to 418 of the family's 1533-position model. The record is from RNAcentral.